Molecule: long non-coding RNA, 202 nt
Organism: Monopterus albus (swamp eel)
Lineage: Eukaryota; Metazoa; Chordata; Actinopteri; Synbranchiformes; Synbranchidae
Exons: 3
Source: RefSeq, a predicted model, not a curated record
CAAAGUGCAGCAGAACAGUGGAAGGAGGUCACAGUACCAGCUUCAGAGCUGCUAGUUAUCUCAUCCCUCAAGCCAUACAUAUUGUACACAGUGCAUUUGGCCGCCCUUAAUGCAGUGGGACUGGGGCCAUUCUCACACACAAGCAGCGUUUGCGCACAGGGAAUACGAUGUCCGGGAUGAUGGUGUUGAACGCCGAGCUAAA